This is a non-coding RNA of Paramuricea clavata, 347 nucleotides long. The record is from the annotation of a GenBank genome assembly. NCBI's taxonomy places the organism in Eukaryota, Metazoa, Cnidaria, Anthozoa, Malacalcyonacea, Plexauridae.
CGCAUUAAAUUCGAAACUGUUAAAUAAGCUAUUUAAACGACGGUCUAAAGUUACCAAUGACGUAGACAUGACUUCAAGGUUGUAUGGUUGUUGUCCGUAUGAGGACGACGUAUACGAAUUCAAUAGAAAUAUAAUAAGGUUUUUUGAGUGUGUGCAAAAUCAUAAAGGUUUCACACCAUUAGUUUGGUAUUAUGAUGAUGUGGUUUACUCGGGUAUCUAUACUGUUUUAUGGUGCAGACCUUGUCGACAUUAUCAAAAUGGUUUAUGUAUGUGUUGGAAUGAUAGACAUGUCAUGGUCUCUCACGUAAAUGCUGACACUGGUUUGCGUACUACAACACAGCUUCAAU